RNAcentral lists this ribosomal RNA (305 nucleotides) under uncultured bacterium. Its description in RNAcentral is "bacterial SSU rRNA". It matches the Rfam family "Bacterial small subunit ribosomal RNA", at positions 335 to 632 of the family's 1533-position model. The record is from RNAcentral.
UUACCUACGGGGCGCAGCAGUGGGGAAUAUUGGACAAUGGGCGAAAGCCUGAUCCAGCCAUGCCGCGUGUGUGAAGAAGGUCUUCGGAUUGUAAAGCACUUUAAGUUGGGAGGAAGGGUUGUAGAUUAAUACUCUGCAAUUUUGACGUUACCGACAGAAUAAGCACCGGCUAACUCUGUGCCAGCAGCCGCGGUAAUACAGAGGGUGCAAGCGUUAAUCGGAAUUACUGGGCGUAAAGCGCGCGUAGGUGGUUUGUUAAGUUGGAUGUGAAAUCCCCGGGCUCAACCUGGGAACUGCAUUCAAAA